UACAGAGGUCUCAAGCGUUGUUCGGAUUCAUUGGGCGUAAAGGGUGCGUAGGUGGCGGGGUAAGUCAGGUGUGAAAUCUCGGGGCUCAACCCCGAAACUGCACUUGAUACUGCCUUGCUCGAGUACUGGAGAGGAGAUUGGAAUUUACGGUGUAGCAGUGAAAUGCGUAGAUAUCGUAAGGAAGACCAGUGGCGAAGGCGAGUCUCUGGACAGUUACUGACACUGAGGCACGAAGGCCAGGGGAGCAAACGGG
This 253-nucleotide ribosomal RNA is filed under the name uncultured bacterium. RNAcentral's name for it is "partial 16S ribosomal RNA". It matches the Rfam family "Bacterial small subunit ribosomal RNA", at positions 524 to 776 of the family's 1533-position model. The record is from RNAcentral.